UACUAUUUUUCUUAUAUAAUGAAUAGUACCAGCCUCGUAUUCAUUGAGCUGGAUUUGGAAAAAAAAAUGCCAUUGCUUCCUCCUCUUCUUUCUUAGCUAUGUUUCUAUGCUCUUCUUCACUAAACCCAUUCAUAUUUCACACUAACUAAUUCCACAACUUCUCUCCUCUGCACUACUUUCUCACUCUGCUUCCUAGUCUUCUGUCUCUCCCUCCUCAAGCCCCAAAUCCGAGCAGCUGCUGUGCCCAAGGUGUGUCUCGCUCAACACCAAUGUCUGUUACUACAACAACCCCAAAUCUCUCUCUCAUUCUCCCCACAUCCUCAUCUCCACAAAUUUUCACAUUUCACACACACAGACCCCGGUUUUUGUUGGAAAAUUUGCUAUGAAAUGGCAAGGGAUGGUUGGGUGACCUGGCUUAGGAGUGACCCGGUAGACCAAUGAAGAAUUUUGACUGGCCAGAGAAGUGUCAUGACCGACCAGGCAUGACCUUGUCCGACCAGUCACAUGCUUGUCUGCCCAGGCAUGACCUUGUCCGACCAGUCACAUGCUUGUCUGCCCAGGCAUGACCUUGGCCGGUCGGUCAUGACCAUGUCCGACCAGCCAAGUGCAUGUCUGCCCAGUGAAGGUGUGGUCGACCAGCUUGGACGAGAUAUGGAUCGACUAGAUAGAGCAAAGCUACGCACGAGAUCCCAGAAACAGCUUCAACAAGAAUCGGUCUUGGCUUGCGCGGGAAUCUCUCAUUUAUCCCACGAAUAUAGUGUACUAUUAUAUUUUGAAUAUUAUUGUAAAUUAAAUAUAAUGAGAAUAACAAAAUAUCCCGAUUAUGGGGGGAUAUCAUCUGUACGAUCCUGAGCUUAUAAAUACAAGGCUUAUGGCAUCAUAAGGGGGACUUUGGGAACUUUCGAUUGAAUUCUUAUUUUCUAGAGAGAGAGAGAGCGUACUUGUAUUUGAUAGAAUUCUUGUAUUCUUGUAAUCUGCACUGAAGAAACUCAGUUGACUCAGGUUCAUCUGAUCUUGAGUGCAGGUCUAUAAUCACAACUCUAAGUGGAUUAGGCAAUUACCAACACAUUGGGGCUGAACCACUAUAAAAA
Long non-coding RNA from Humulus lupulus (European hop), 1091 nucleotides. RefSeq lists it as uncharacterized. The transcript has 2 exons. The record is from RefSeq and is a predicted model, not a curated record. NCBI's taxonomy places the organism in Eukaryota, Viridiplantae, Streptophyta, Magnoliopsida, Rosales, Cannabaceae.